Molecule: long non-coding RNA, 769 nt
Organism: Helicoverpa armigera (cotton bollworm)
Lineage: Eukaryota; Metazoa; Arthropoda; Insecta; Lepidoptera; Noctuidae
Exons: 2
Source: RefSeq, a predicted model, not a curated record
CGCACAUCAGUGGUAACUGUCCUGCACCUUAACUCAAUAGUAAUAAGUACGAUUUUCCUAUAAAACUGUUACCACUGACCUGAAGCUGACUGUACCAUAAGUAUUAUAAUUGAAUUAUAAUAUGCAUUCAUAUAAAUUACGUGAUUUGGCAAUACAUUUUACACUUACCUAAAGAAUUACACUAAAAGAAAUUUUCAUCUGGUAACACACUUAGCAGCCUUCUUACUGCAAGUAAUUUUUCAGCUGAUUUGUGAAGCUGCAGGAAUUUAUUUAUGGCAGUCUAACUGCAGUACUCAAAUUGGCUGAUCUUAAUAACUCUAGUUUUCAGGCUUCUAAGUGUGUUACUAGCCUUAAGUUAAAAGCUUAGCAAUACAUUUAAGUUAUAUUUGCCUUUAUAAAAGCUAAGGGUGUUCAUAUUGUACACGUAGAUACACUCUAAAUUAAUAAAAUAUUAUAUUUACAGUAAAAAUGUAAUUUCAAAUUAGCAACGCAAAAUGAUGCCAACAUUUAUCAGGCACGUAUCUUAUGACUGUAACGGUUAUUAAAUACUUACUCAUAUAAUUAAUAAUAAAAUGUGUUGCCAAAUUAUACAUUUAUAAAAAUACCCAAUAAAAUAAAAAUAAACCUACAUUUAAGUACCUAACAAUGAAAUAAAUAUUCAAUAAACGGCCGAUUGAUUACGCGUGCUCCAUUUCAAAAUGGCGACCGCAACGCGAAAUAAUACGUGUAUAGAUUGUAAAUAUAUGAUUAAAUAAAACGUUAUGUAAUA